UAAUGUGAAUUGCAGAAUUCAGUGAAUCAUUCGAAUCUUUCGAACGCAUCUUGCGCUCCUUGGUAUUCCGAGGAGCAUGCCUGUUUGAGUGUCAUC
This 96-nucleotide ribosomal RNA is filed under the name uncultured fungus. RNAcentral describes it as "partial 5.8S ribosomal RNA". It matches the Rfam family "5.8S ribosomal RNA", at positions 63 to 154 of the family's 154-position model. Rfam says of the family: 5.8S ribosomal RNA (5.8S rRNA) is a component of the large subunit of the eukaryotic ribosome. It is transcribed by RNA polymerase I as part of the 45S precursor that also contains 18S and 28S rRNA. The record is from RNAcentral. Lineage: Eukaryota; Fungi.